UACGGGGGGGGCAAGCGUUGUUCGGAAUUACUGGGCGUAAAGGGCUCGUAGGCGGCAAACUAAGUCGGAUGUGAAAUCCCCAGGCUUAACCUGGGAACUGCAUCCGAUACUGGAUGGCUUGAAUUCGGGAGAGGGAUGCAGAAUUCCAGGUGUAGCGGUGAAAUGCGUAGAUAUCUGGAGGAAUACCGGUGGCGAAGGCGGCAUCCUGGACCGAGAUUGACGCUGAUGAGCGAAAGCUAGGGGAGCAAACGGG
This 253-nucleotide ribosomal RNA is filed under the name uncultured bacterium. Its description in RNAcentral is "partial 16S ribosomal RNA". It matches the Rfam family "Bacterial small subunit ribosomal RNA", at positions 524 to 776 of the family's 1533-position model. The record is from RNAcentral.